RNAcentral lists this ribosomal RNA (495 nucleotides) under uncultured bacterium. RNAcentral describes it as "bacterial SSU rRNA". It matches the Rfam family "Bacterial small subunit ribosomal RNA", at positions 29 to 523 of the family's 1533-position model. The record is from RNAcentral.
AUGAACGCUGGCGGCGUGCUUAACACAUGCAAGUCGAACGAAGCUUGAGUCUGAAAUUUUUCGGAAGGACAGAUGAUAUGACUGAGUGGCGGACGGGUGAGUAACGCGUGGGUAACCUGCCCUGUACAGGGGGAUAACAGCCAGAAAUGGCUGCUAAUACCGCAUAAGCGCACAGGAAGACAUCUUCCAGUGUGAAAAACUCCGGUGGUACAGGAUGGGCCCGCGUCUGAUUAGCUGGUUGGCGGGGUAAUGGCCCACCAAGGCAACGAUCAGUAGCCGGUCUGAGAGGAUGAACGGCCACAUUGGAACUGAGACACGGUCCAAACUCCUACGGGAGGCAGCAGUGGGGAAUAUUGCACAAUGGGGGAAACCCUGAUGCAGCAACGCCGCGUGAGUGAAGAAGUAUUUCGGUAUGUAAAGCUCUAUCAGCAGGGAAGAUAAUGACGGUACCUGACUAAGAAGCUCCGGCUAAAUACGUGCCAGCAGCCGCGGUAA